AUAACAAGAGGAUGGAGCCAAAUUCAUCCUCACCACGCGGUCAAAGUCUUGGGAGGAUGCGGUCCAGGCGCGGUUAUACGCAGCCGCCGACAGUGAUACGGUUAAGGAUCGGACGCGUUGAGUUAGCAAGGCCUCGGCCUUGCAUUUUUUU
Molecule: small RNA, 151 nt
Filed under: Nitratireductor pacificus pht-3B
Lineage: Bacteria; Pseudomonadati; Pseudomonadota; Alphaproteobacteria; Hyphomicrobiales; Phyllobacteriaceae
Description: Nitratireductor sp. Pht-3B Alphaproteobacterial sRNA ar9
Rfam family: Alphaproteobacterial sRNA ar9
Source: Rfam by way of RNAcentral